Molecule: non-coding RNA, 273 nt
Organism: Pelobates cultripes (western spadefoot toad)
Lineage: Eukaryota; Metazoa; Chordata; Amphibia; Anura; Pelobatidae
Source: the annotation of a GenBank genome assembly
AUCCUGUGCAUCUGUAGCAACCUUUUUUCUUAGUUACUUUAGCUUGUGGAUAACAGUGUACUGGAUCAUUACGAACCAGCAUAUCCCUCAAACUCUUAUUCCGUCGAUAACUAAUAACUGGUGGAUUUUGGAAAAUUGGUGAUAAAUACUUGUCUGCCUUUAGUAUAUCCCAGUGUUUGUAUACAGUGUUCUUGAUUUGUACAGUAUUAGUAUGAAAAGUAAGUGGAAGAAAUAUGCGUUCUGUUGAUUGAUCACUAAUGUUAUCAGAGGUUU